RNAcentral lists this ribosomal RNA (434 nucleotides) under uncultured bacterium. RNAcentral's name for it is "partial 16S ribosomal RNA". It matches the Rfam family "Bacterial small subunit ribosomal RNA", at positions 29 to 507 of the family's 1533-position model. The record is from RNAcentral.
AGCGAACGCUGGCGGCAGGCCUAACACAUGCAAGUCGAACGAACCUUUCGGGGUUAGUGGCGGACGGGUGAGUAACACGUGGGAACGUGCCUUUAGGUUCGGAAUAACUCAGGGAAACUUGUGCUAAUACCGAAUGUGCCCUUCGGGGGAAAGAUUUAUCGCCUUUAGAGCGGCCCGCGUCUGAUUAGCUAGUUGGUUGAGGUAAUGGCUCACCAAGGCGACGAUCAGUAGCUGGUCUGAGAGGAUGAUCAGCCACAUUGGGACUGAGACACGGCCAAAACUCCUACGGGAAGCAGCAGUGGGGAAUCUUGCGCAAUGGGCGAAAGCCUGACGCAGCCAUGCCGCGUGAAUGAUGAAGGUCUUAGGAUUGUAAAAUUCUUUCACCGGGGACGAUAAUGACGGUACCCGGAGAAGAAGCCCCGGCUAACUUCGUG